This 253-nucleotide ribosomal RNA is filed under the name uncultured bacterium. RNAcentral describes it as "partial 16S ribosomal RNA". It matches the Rfam family "Bacterial small subunit ribosomal RNA", at positions 524 to 776 of the family's 1533-position model. The record is from RNAcentral.
UACGUAGGGUGCGAGCGUUAAUCGGAAUUACUGGGCGUAAAGGGCGCGUAGGCGGCCCCUUUUGUCGCGUGUGAAAGCCCCGGGCUCAACCUGGGAGGUGCGCGCGAAACGGGGGGGCUUGAGUUCGGGAGAGGAGAGUGGAAUUCCCAGUGUAGAGGUGAAAUUCGUAGAUAUUGGGAAGAACACCGGUGGCGAAGGCGGCUCUCUGGACCGAGACUGACGCUGAGGCGCGAAAGCGUGGGGAGCAAACAGG